CGCUUCUUGCAAGCCCAAAAAUAAGAGGUCCCGCCUGCCCUGUGACUAUUAUGUUUAACGGCCGCGGUAUUUUGACCGUGCGAAGGUAUCGCAAUCACUUGUCUUUUAAAUGGAGACCCGUAUGAAUGGCAUAACGAGGGCUUAACUGUCUCCUCUUUCAAGUCAAUGAAAUUGAUCUUCCCGUGCAGAAGCGGGAAUCUAAACAUAAGACGAGAAGACCCUAUGGAGCUUUAGACACCAAGGCAGCUUACGUUAAACACCCCCAAUAAGGACCUAAACCAAAUAAGCCCUCCCCUAAUGUCUUUGGUUGGGGCGACCGCGGGGAACUAAGUAACCCCCACGUGGAACGGGGGAACUCCCCCUACAGCUAAGAGCUACAGCUCUAGUAAACAGAAUUUCUGACCAGUAAGAUCCGGCAAUGCCGAUCAACGGACCGAGUUACCCUAGGGAUAACAGCGCAAUCCUCUUUUAGAGCCCAUAUCGACAAGGGGGUUUACGACCUCGAUGUUGGAUCAGGACAUCCUAAUGGUGCAGCCGCUAUUAAGGGUUCCGUUUGUUCAACGAUUAAAGUCCU
Molecule: ribosomal RNA, 574 nt
Filed under: Eumicrotremus spinosus (Atlantic spiny lumpsucker)
Lineage: Eukaryota; Metazoa; Chordata; Actinopteri; Perciformes; Cyclopteridae
Description: partial 16S ribosomal RNA
Rfam family: Bacterial large subunit ribosomal RNA
Source: RNAcentral